Molecule: ribosomal RNA, 444 nt
Filed under: uncultured Marinobacter sp.
Lineage: Bacteria; Pseudomonadati; Pseudomonadota; Gammaproteobacteria; Pseudomonadales; Marinobacteraceae
Description: bacterial SSU rRNA
Rfam family: Bacterial small subunit ribosomal RNA
Source: RNAcentral
CCGUACGAGCGCACCCCUAUCCCUAGUUGCUAGCAGUUCGGGCUGAGAACUCUAGGGAGACUGCCGGUGACAAACCGGAGGAAGGUGGGGAUGACGUCAGGUCAUCAUGGCCCUUACGGCCAGGGCUACACACGUGCUACAAUGGUGCGCACAGAGGGCUGCAAACCCGCGAGGGGGAGCCAAUCUCACAAAACGCAUCGUAGUCCGGAUCGCAGUCUGCAACUCGACUGCGUGAAGUCGGAAUCGCUAGUAAUCGUGAAUCAGAAUGUCACGGUGAAUACGUUCCCGGGCCUUGUACACACCGCCCGUCUCACCAUGGGAGUGGAUUGCACCAGAAGUGGUUAGUCUAACCUUCGGGAGGACGAUCACCACGGUGUGGUUCAUGACUGGGGUGAAGUCGUAACAAGGUAGCCGUAGGGGAACCUGCGGCUGGAUCACCUCCUU